RNAcentral lists this ribosomal RNA (799 nucleotides) under uncultured bacterium. RNAcentral's name for it is "bacterial SSU rRNA". It matches the Rfam family "Bacterial small subunit ribosomal RNA", at positions 18 to 810 of the family's 1533-position model. The record is from RNAcentral.
CAUGGCUCAGAGCGAACGUGACCGGCGGGUUAACACAUGCAAGUCGAACGAGAAAAGGGACUUCGGUCCCUGAGUAAAGUGGCGGACGGGUGCGUAACACGUGGGCAAUCUACCUUCCGGCGGGGGAUAACGAUUCGAAAGGAUCGCUAAUACCGCGUACGUCGACGAGGACUCCGGUCUUUGUCGGGAAAGACGGCCUCUUCUUGAAAGCUGUCACCGGAAGAUGAGCCCGCGCCCCAUCAGCUAGUUGGCGAGGUAAUGGCUCACCAAGCAUAGACGGGUAGCUGGUCUGAGAGGAUGAUCAGCCACACUGGGACUGCGACACGGCCCAGACUCCUACGGGAGGCAGCAGUGGGGAAUAUUGGGCAAUGGGCGAAAGCCUGACCCAGCCACGCCGCGUGAGUGAUGAAGGCCUUCGGGUCGUAAAGCUCUGUGGGGAGGGACGAAAAAGCGAGGAGAUAAUACCUCUCGUAUGACGGUACCUCCUUAGCAAGCACCGGCUACCCUGUGCCAGCAGCCGCGGUAAUACAGGGGUGCAAACGUGCUCGGAAUAUGGGCGUAAAGCGCGCGUAGGCGGCUAUCUAAGUCGGAUGUGAAGCCCUCGGCUCACUGAGGAAGUGCACCCGAAACUGGAUAGCUAGAGUACAAAGAGGAUCGCGAAUCCCGGUGUACAGGUGAAUUCGUAAUUCGGGAGGACACAUGCGAAGGCGGCGGAUCCUGGCGUGGAACUGACGCUGAGGCGCGAAAAGCUGUGGGAGCAACCGGAUUAGAUACUGGGUAGUCAACAACCGUUAACCGA